Molecule: ribosomal RNA, 434 nt
Filed under: uncultured bacterium
Lineage: Bacteria
Description: partial 16S ribosomal RNA
Rfam family: Bacterial small subunit ribosomal RNA
Source: RNAcentral
GAACGAACGCUGGCGGCAUGCCUAACACCUGCAAGUCGAACGAUCCCUUCGGGGAUAGUGGCGCACGGGUGCGUAACGCGUGGGAACCUGCCCUUAGGUUCGGAAUAACUCAGAGAAAUUUGAGCUAAUACCGGAUAAUGUCUUCGGACCAAAGAUUUAUCGCCUUUGGAUGGGCCCGCGUUGGAUUAGCUAGUUGGUGGGGUAAAGGCCUACCAAGGCGACGAUCCAUAGCUGGUCUGAGAGGAUGAUCAGCCACACUGGGACUGAGACACGGCCCAGACUCCUACGGGAGGCAGCAGUGGGGAAUAUUGGACAAUGGGCGAAGGCCUGAUCCAGCAAUGCCGCGUGAGUGAUGAAGGCCUUAGGGUUGUAAAGCUCUUUUACCCGGGAUGAUAAUGACAGUACCGGGAGAAUAAGCCCCGGCUAACUCCGUG